RNAcentral lists this ribosomal RNA (427 nucleotides) under uncultured bacterium. Its description in RNAcentral is "partial 16S ribosomal RNA". It matches the Rfam family "Bacterial small subunit ribosomal RNA", at positions 355 to 774 of the family's 1533-position model. The record is from RNAcentral.
UGGGGAAUAUUGAACAAUGGGCGAAAGCCUGAUCCAGCCAUGCCGCGUGUGUGAAGAAGGUCUUCGGAUUGUAAAGCACUUUAAGCUGGGAGGAAGGGCAUUAACCUAAUACGUUAGUGUUUUGACGUUACCGACAGAAUAAGCACCGGCUAACUCUGUGCAAGCAGCCGCGGUAAUACAGAGGGUGCAAGCGUUAAUCGGAAUUACUGGGCGUAAAGCGCGCGUAGGUGGUUUGUUAAGUUGGAUGUGAAAUCCCCGGGCUCAACCUGGGAACUGCAUUCAAAACUGACUGACUAGAGUAUGGUAGAGGGUGGUGGAAUUUCCUGUGUAGCGGUGAAAUGCGUAGAUAUAGGAAGGAACACCAGUGGCGAAGGCGACCACCUGGACUAAUACUGACACUGAGGUGCGAAAGCGUGGGGAGCAAACA